AGGUUAAGUUAUGAAGGGCGCACGGUGGAUGCCUUGGCACUAGGAGCCGAUGAAGGACGGGACUAACACCGAUAUGCUUCGGGGAGCUGUAAGUAAGCUUUGAUCCGGAGAUUUCCGAAUGGGGGAACCCAUCAUCCGUAAUGGGAUGAUAUCUUUACCUGAAUACAUAGGGUAUUGAAGGCAGACCCGGGGAACUGAAACAUCUAAGUACCCGGAGGAAGAGAAAGCAAACGCGAUUCCCUGAGUAGCGGCGAGCGAAACGGGAUUAGCCCAAACCAAGAGGCUUGCCUCUUGGGGUUGUAGGACACUCUAUACGGAGUUACAAAGGAACGAGGUAAACGAACAAGUCUGGAAAGGCUGGUCAAAGAAGGUAACAACCCUGUAGUUGAAACCUUGUUCCCUCUUGAGUGUAUCCUGAGUACGGCGGGACACGAGAAAUCCCGUCGGAAGCAGGGAGGACCAUCUCCCAAGGCUAAAUACUCCCUAGUGACCGAUAGUGAACCAGUACCGUGAGGGAAAGGUGAAAAGCACCCCGGAAGGGGAGUGAAAGAGAUCCUGAAACCGUGUGCCUACAAGUAGUUAGAGCCCUUUAACGGGUGAUAGCGUGCCUUUUGUAGAAUGAACCGGCGAGUUACGAUUGCAUGCGAGGUUAAGUUGAAGAGACGGAGCCGUAGCGAAAGCGAGUCUGAAUAGGGCGCAUUAGUAUGUAGUCGUAGACCCGAAACCAGGUGAUCUACCCAUGUCCAGGUUGAAGUUCAGGUAACACUGAAUGGAGGACCGAACCCACGCACGUUGAAAAGUGCGGGGAUGAGGUGUGGGUAGCGGAGAAAUUCCAAUCGAACUUGGAGAUAGCUGGUUCUCUCCGAAAUAGCUUUAGGGCUAGCCUCACGAAUAACGAGUCUUGGAGGUAGAGCACUGUUUGGACUAGGGGCCCUCAUCGGGUUACCGAAUUCAGACAAACUCCGAAUGCCAAGUACUUAAGCGUGGGAGUCAGACUGCGAGUGAUAAGAUCCGUAGUCAAAAGGGAAACAGCCCAGACCACCAGCUAAGGUCCCAAAGUAUACGUUAAGUGGAAAAGGAUGUGGGGUUGCUUAGACAACCAGGAUGUUGGCUUAGAAGCAGCCACCAUUUAAAGAGUGCGUAAUAGCUCACUGGUCGAGUGACCCCGCGCCGAAAAUGUACCGGGGCUAAACGUAUCACCGAAGCUGUGGAUGGAUAUCUACGAUAUCCGUGGUAGGAGAGCGUUCUAAGGGCGUUGAAGCUAGACCGGAAGGACUGGUGGAGCGCUUAGAAGUGAGAAUGCCGGUAUGAGUAGCGAAAGAUGGGUGAGAAUCCCAUCCACCGUAUGCCUAAGGUUUCCUGAGGAAGGCUCGUCCGCUCAGGGUUAGUCGGGACCUAAGCCGAGGCCGAAAGGCGUAGGCGAUGGACAACAGGUUGAUAUUCCUGUACCACCUCGUUUUUGUUUGAGCGAUGGGGGGACGCAGGAGGAUAGGGUAAGCGCACUGCUGGAUAUGUGCGUCUAAGCAGUUAGGCUGGUAAGCAGGAAAAUCCGCUUACCGUGAAGGCUGAGCUGUGAUAGCGAGGGAAAUAUAGUACCGAAGUUCCUGAUUCCACACUGCCAAGAAAAGCCUCUAGUGAGAAAACAGGUGCCCGUACCGCAAACCGACACAGGUAGGCGAGGAGAGAAUCCUAAGGUGUGCGAGAGAACUCUCGUUAAGGAACUCGGCAAAAUGACCCCGUAACUUCGGGAGAAGGGGUGCUUUUUAGGGUGAAUAGCCUUGAAAAGCCGCAGUGAAUAGGCCCAGGCGACUGUUUAGCAAAAACACAGGUCUCUGCGAAGCCGCAAGGCGAAGUAUAGGGGCUGACGCCUGCCCGGUGCUGGAAGGUUAAGAGGAGGGGUUAGCGCAAGCGAAGCUCUGAAUUGAAGCCCCAGUAAACGGCGGCCGUAACUAUAACGGUCCUAAGGUAGCGAAAUUCCUUGUCGGGUAAGUUCCGACCCGCACGAAAGGCGUAACGAUCUGGGCACUGUCUCAACGAGAGACUCGGUGAAAUUAUAGUACCUGUGAAGAUGCAGGUUACCCGCGACAGGACGGAAAGACCCCGUGGAGCUUUACUGUAGCCUGAUAUUGAAUUUUGGUACAGCUUGUACAGGAUAGGUAGGAGCCUGAGAAGCCGGAGCGCUAGCUUCGGUGGAGGCGUCGGUGGGAUACUACUCUGGCUGUAUUGAAAUUCUAACCCGCACCUCU
RNAcentral lists this ribosomal RNA (2246 nucleotides) under Bacillus yapensis. RNAcentral describes it as "Bacillus sp. XXST-01 partial 23S ribosomal RNA". It matches the Rfam family "Bacterial large subunit ribosomal RNA", at positions 1 to 2236 of the family's 2925-position model. The record is from RNAcentral. Lineage: Bacteria; Bacillati; Bacillota; Bacilli; Caryophanales; Bacillaceae.